RNAcentral lists this ribosomal RNA (498 nucleotides) under uncultured bacterium. Its description in RNAcentral is "partial 16S ribosomal RNA". It matches the Rfam family "Bacterial small subunit ribosomal RNA", at positions 28 to 523 of the family's 1533-position model. The record is from RNAcentral.
GAUGAACGCUAGCGGCAGGCCUAAUACAUGCAAGUCGAGGGAGAAUGUUGGAUUCGUCUGACAUGAAACCGGCGCACGGGUGCGUAACACGUAUGCAACUUACCUUUAACUGGGGUAUAGCUCAGAGAAAUCUGAAUUAAUCCCCCAUAAGACUACGACAUGGCAUCAUGAUGUAGUUAAAGCUCCGGCGGUUAAGGAUGGGCAUGCGGUACAUUAGCUAGUUGGUGAGGUAAUGGCUCACCAAGGCUACGAUGUAUAGGGGGUCUGAGAGGAUGAUCCCCCACACUGGUACUGAGACACGGACCAGACUCCUACGGGAGGCAGCAGUAGGGAAUAUUGGUCAAUGGAUGCAAGUCUGAACCAGCCAUGCCGCGUGAAGGAUGAAGGCCCUAUGGGUCGUAAACUUCUUUUAUUAGGGAAGAAAAAACGGGAUGCGUCCUGUACUGACGGUACUUAAUGAAUAAGGAUCGGCUAACUUCGUGCCAGCAGCCGCAGUAA